This 253-nucleotide ribosomal RNA is filed under the name uncultured bacterium. RNAcentral describes it as "partial 16S ribosomal RNA". It matches the Rfam family "Bacterial small subunit ribosomal RNA", at positions 524 to 776 of the family's 1533-position model. The record is from RNAcentral.
UACGGGGGUGGCAAGCGUUGUUCGGAAUUACUGGGCGUAAAGGGCGCGUAGGCGGGGAGGUAAGUCGGGUGUGAAAUCCCUCGGCUCAACCGAGGAACUGCGCCCGAGACUGCCUUUCUUGAGUCCCGGAGAGGAAGGUGGAAUUCCCGGUGUAGCGGUGAAAUGUGUAGAGAUCGGGAGGAACACCGGUGGCGAAGGCGGUUCUCUGGGCAUGAUCUGACGCUGAGGAGCGAAAGUGUGGGGAGCGAACAGG